This is a long non-coding RNA of Pan troglodytes (chimpanzee), 2908 nucleotides long. RefSeq lists it as uncharacterized. Lineage: Eukaryota; Metazoa; Chordata; Mammalia; Primates; Hominidae. The transcript has 2 exons. The record is from RefSeq and is a predicted model, not a curated record.
UUUAAAGGAACUGAGAAGGGAGAGUAAUUUUCGCAAGGUUUUUCUCCCUGCAAAUAAAUACUGAUAAAGUUGAAGAUCUGAGGCAUGAACCCACAUAGACUGGCUACCACUCAGUAGUCUUAACCACUACACAGCGCUGCUUUUCCAGGAUGCAUAUAUAGUUGUAUAUUUAAGGAUAUAUAUAUAUAGCUUAAGGUGGCCAGGCAUGGUGGAUCACAUCUGUAAGCCCAGCACUUUGGAAGGCCAAGAUGGGUGGAUCAGGAGUUCAAGACGAGCCUGCCCUACAUGGUGAAACCCCAUCUCUACUAAAAAUACAAAAAUCAGGUGCUCAUAAUGGUGUAAGCCUGUAGUCCCAGCUAUUCGGGAGGCUGAAGCAGGAGAAUCUCUUGAACCCGGGAGGUGGAGGUUGCAGUGAGCUGAGAUCACGCCACUGCACUCCAGCCUAGGUGACAAAGCAAGGGCUCUGUCUCCAAAAAAAAAAAAAAAAAAAAAAAAAUGAAAGUCUUUACCUAGCCACAAGGAUACAUUGUAUCUACUAAUUGUAUAUUUCUCCCUGUAUCCUGGAUAGCACCAUAAUUCAUCUCUAUUCUAACUUUGGUAUCUGGGAACCACGUUAAAUGCCACUUUCUUUUCAACCCAGAUCUACUGAGUCUCCAAAUUGUCUAUUCUGCUUAUUAUGUUUAUAUACCUCCCCACUUCCAGUUUUGGCCAAUCCAUUGCUUUUGCUUUGGUUUAGACCUUUAUUUUUCUUCUACUGGUUGAUAGGGGCAGCUUCCCAAGGCGUCACUCUGGCUCUAGCUUAGUCCUUCCCCAACACACUCUUUAUACUAGCAUCACCAUGUUGUGUCAAGGACUAAAAUUGAGAUGUGAUCUUCUAUAACUAGAAAGUCAAAGACAAUUCAAGGUUGUCAGAAUUAGGCACAUAUUUUGCUUUCCUUAUACAUGAAUAGCAUUUUCUCAACUGUCGAAUCAGUAGCAUUUCCAGCAAGUUUGAAUCUAUUUUUAUAUAAAGUAAUGUGAAUGGAUUAGAUUAAGAUAGCAAUUGGGGAGGGAUUUCAGAACUCUGGGCAGUAACUGAAUAAACAUCAUUUGGAUCACAGAAUGUUCCACCUUUGAAGAUUGCCAAUAGUAUUUGUUAUCUUUGAAGCUGUCUACUCAUCAUGCUGAAUGUCCUCAGAAUUUUUAAGGACACUCAGAGAAUGCUACCUCUAUCCAGAUAGUCAGAGGAAUGCCAUAUGAACUUCUCUGUUAUUCCUCCAGAUGUCCUUGGGAGUUACAAGGAAGAAUGUGUAUUUCCUAAAGGUCCAUAUCCAUAAUUUAUCUAGGUUUGGGAAAAAUUAUCUGUUAUUAUCCUUUUGAAUAAACUGUCUACCCCUAUCUCUUUUCCUACCUCCAUUUUAAGGCCAAUAACUCUUAGAUUUGCCAUUUUGAUGCUAUUUUCUAUAUCCUGUAAGUGUGCUUCAUUGUUUUUCAUUGUUUUCUCUUUUGUCUCCUCUGACUAUUUUCAAAUCACCUGUCUUCAAGCUCACUAAUUCUUUUUUUCUACUUGAUCAAUUCUGUUAAGCGAGUGUUAAAAGACUAUGAUGCAGUCUUCAGUAUGCCAAUAGCAUUUUUUAGCUUCAGAAUUUCUGCUUCAUUCUUGUAAAUUAUUUUAAUCUUUUUGUUAUAUUUGUCUGAUAUAAUUCUAAAUUCCUUCUCUGUGUUGUCCUAAAUUUCUUGAGUUUCCUCAAAACAGCUAUUUUGAAUUCUCUGUCUGAAAGGUCAGAUAUUUCUGUUUCUCCAGGAUUGAUUCCUGGUGCUUAAGUUAGUUCAUUUAUUGAAGUCAUGUUUUCCUGGGUGGUCUUGAUACUUAUAAAUAUUUGUCUGUUUCUGGGCAUUGUAGAGUUGGGUAUUUAUUGUAGUCUUCUCAGUCUGGGCUUGUUUGUACCUAUCCUUGUUGGGAAAUCCUUCCAUAUAUUCAAAGUACUUGAGUGUUGUGCUCUGAGCUGUAUCUGCAUUAGGGGUUACCCAACCACAGUAACACUGUGGUUUUUGAAGAUCCACAGGGGCAUUUCCUUGAUGGUCUUAGACAAAAUCCAGGAGAAUUCUCUGGAUUUACAGGCAGAGAUUCUUAUUCUCUUUCUUCAGUUUCUACCAAACAAAUGAAGUCUCUCUUUGUUAUGAGACACUUAGAGCUGGUGGUGGAGUGACACAAGCACCUCUGUGACUACCACCACUAGGAAUGUGCUAGAUCAUACCUGAAGCCAGUACAGCACUGGUUCUCACCCAAGACCUGCUGUAAUCACUCAAUGGCUACUCCUUAUGUUCAUUCUAGGCCCUGAAGCUCUACAGUCAGCCAAUGGCGAAGCCAACCCAGCUUGUGUCCUUCCCUUCAAGGCGACGGGAUUCCCCAGGUCCUUAGACAUCUUCAUGGGGUUCUAUUGUACUGUGGCUGAGCUGACACUCAAACCAUGAGACAUAGUGCUUCACAUUCAUCCCUCUCCUUUCCAAAGGCAGAGGAGUCUCUGCCAUCACAGCCCACAGACAGUACUGACAGAUGACUGUCAUUGUUCCUUUAAGGCCCCAUGUCUCUUCAGUCAAUUUGUAUUUGAUGCUGCCUGUGCUGGUACUCACCAUUCAGGGCAACAGACUCCACUGUGGUCCAGGGCAGGUCCGGAAAUGCUGUCUAAGAGCCAACCCAAGAGCCUCCUUGGUGUUCUACUCCACUGUGGAUGAGCUGGUAACUAAAAGAACUGCUCUCUCUACCAUACCGCCACCGCUGGGGACUGGAGGAAGGGUGUCAUCAGUGACUCAAGACUAUUUUUCCUACCACUUCAGUGCCUCUUUCAUCAAUAUGAAUGUAAAACCAGAUACUUUGAUUGCUCACUUGAUUCUUGGUUUUUAUAAAGUAGAUUUUUUUGUGUGUGUA